GACGAACGCUGGCGGCGUGCCUAAUACAUGCAAGUUGAGCGAUGAAGAUUGGUGCUUGCACCAAUUUGAAGAGCAGCGAACGGGUGAGUAACGCGUGGGGAAUCUGCCUUUGAGCGGGGGACAACAUUUGGAAACGAAUGCUAAUACCGCAUAACAACUUUAAACAUAAGUUUUAAGUUUGAAAGAUGCAAUUGCAUCACUCAAAGAUGAUCCCGCGUUGUAUUAGCUAGUUGGUGGGGUAAAGGCUCACCAAGGCGAUGAUACAUAGCCGACCUGAGAGGGUGAUCGGCCACAUUGGGACUGAGACACGGCCCAAACUCCUACGGGAGGCAGCAGUAGGGAAUCUUCGGCAAUGGACGAAAGUCUGACCGAGCAACGCCGCGUGAGUGAAGAAGGUUUUCGGAUCGUAAAACUCUGUUGGUAGAGAAGAACGUUGGUGAGAGUGGAAAGCUCAUCAAGUGACGGUAACUACCCAGAAAGGGACGGCUAACUACGUG
Molecule: ribosomal RNA, 497 nt
Filed under: uncultured bacterium
Lineage: Bacteria
Description: partial 16S ribosomal RNA
Rfam family: Bacterial small subunit ribosomal RNA
Source: RNAcentral